CCCUCAUGGUACUUGUUUGCUAUCGGUCUCAAAUUCAUAUUUAGCUUGAGAUGAAAUUUACCACCCACUUUGCGCUCCAUUCCCAAGGAACGUGACUCUGCACAGCGUGCCGUACACACGGGGCUGCAAAUUAAAGACGGGACUCUCACCCUCUGUGGUGCGCUCUUCCAAGCGACUUGUAUUUGCGCCCGCGUUGGCAACGCAGUUACAAAUUACAAUUCAAGGCCGCGGGCCUUGAUUUCCACUUUGAGCUGCUCCGAGUUCAUUCGCCAUUACUCACGGGAUCCUCUUUAGUUUCUUAUCACUCCGCUUACUUAUAUGCUUAAAUUCGGCGGGUUUACUUACCCAAUUUCAUUUCUGAAAUUCUUGGCAUGCACCGCGGCUGCAAAUGAUACAAUGCAUAACUUCAAGUCGCGCGAGCGCAAAUUCUAGUAGUUAUAGCAUCGAUCCAGCGUACGCAGGUAAGCUUGACACGCGAUGCUGGUCAACAGCUCGUUGGCAAGCAAGGAAUCUCGCAACAAGUUGGAACAACGCUUGAAGAAUCUGAAAUGGGCAUGCUGUCAACAGGGGUUGGCAGCGCAACUUGCGUUCUACAUUCUAUUGGUUCACGGAAUUCUG
RNAcentral lists this unclassified non-coding RNA (618 nucleotides) under uncultured eukaryote. RNAcentral's name for it is "partial contains 5.8S rRNA and ITS2". The record is from RNAcentral.